This is a long non-coding RNA of Onychomys torridus (southern grasshopper mouse), 917 nucleotides long. RefSeq lists it as uncharacterized. The transcript is spliced from 3 exons. The record is from RefSeq and is a predicted model, not a curated record. NCBI's taxonomy places the organism in Eukaryota, Metazoa, Chordata, Mammalia, Rodentia, Cricetidae.
GUUCUGGGCGAUGAGGCAACCGGCUGGGACGGCUGUGUCUUGCACGGUGGCACGGCGCUUCUGCGCGCAGCCUCCGGGUCCUCCGGGCUCCAGCACUGAGAAAGUGCGCAGAGGCGCGGCGACCCGUGUCAGGUGGCCGGCCACCGCGCGGCCCCCGAAGUGCGACACAAAGGUGCGCACGGCCGCUCGUUGGCUGGCGCCAGGGGUCGCGGGAGGCGGAGGCCAGCUCUCUUGCUCCCGGCGGCCGGCGCGUACCCGGGCGCAGUCCCGCGAGGGACGCGUGCGCGCGAGUGGGUAAGGCAGCAGCAGGUCAUCGUCGCGGGAAACCCUGUAGGGACGGGGCGAUCGUGAGCUCAGAGGGCUGUGCCCGAGAGCACGCAGGACAGGGGCACCCCAGCCAGCUGGCCCUCGCAGCUGCACUCACCCCGAGUCCAGGCUGCACCACACCACUCCUAGCAAGCCGAGCAGCGAGGGCAGGAAGAGCGGCCCGCGUAUCCUGGGCGACGCCAUAUUGGAUUGGGACUCUGGUCACGUGGGCCUGCCCCAUGUGACUCCAGGCCAGCUGGUGGGUACUUCCAGGUACUAAGGGCCUGGACACCUUGUUUAUGAGAUUAAGCCUCCAAAUUCCAUCAGGAAGGGGCAGUACAAACAAACAAACAUUGUAAGAAAGAAGCUUGGUUAGUGGGGCCAGAGAGAUGGCUGAGCAGUUAAGGGAACUGUCUGCGCUUCCAGAGGACCGGGAUUUGAUUCCCAACACACACAUGGUUUCCUUCUUCCUGAACGCUCACCGCAUCCUGUGUAUUGGGUGUAAACAGCUUAGGUGCAAGAAUUUAAAACAACGGUAGCAAACUUCUGCUCUCCAGGGUCUCCCAUUGUGCUGUAAGCCUGUAUUUAAGACCUUCCUCCCUCCUUCAAUA